GUGGUUGACCUUGUCUGCUGGCCUGCCUGAGCCAUAAACCCCUGGGGCGACUUUGGCCUGUGAGCCUGGAGAGGCUUCUGGUCCUGGGGGUGGUGCCCUGAAUGUGGAGUCGCAAAACCCUAACACCUGUUCCAGAUCUGCGGGGCAGCAUCAGAUAAGCAAACUAAGGCUUGGAGAGCUGAGAGCUGAGAUCACAGGCCCAGGCUGUAAGAGGGAAGGUGGGACCAGAAAGAAUCCACAUUGCUCUCACCACCUCAAGAACUCUGAGGGCUGUGCUCACCGCUGUUCUGAAGCAUCACUUCCGCUCUGAAGAUCAGGGCAGCCCGAUUUCCCACGCGAGAGCGGAUAGGGCUGCCCCUGGGAUCUGAGCCAUGUCUGUGACCUACCCCACAGCUCACGACCAUGCUGGAUCCUUAACCAACUGAGCAAGGAGAGGGAUCGAACCCUCACCCUCCUGGAUACUAGUUGGGUUCAUUACUGCCGAGCCACAACAGGAACUCCUCUUUAGUUCUUGUUUUAUUCAUUCAUUCAUUCAUUCAUUCAUUUACUUAUUUAUUAUGGCCCCAGAGUGGCUUAUGGAAGUUCCUCGGCCAGGGGCCUGAAUCCACAGCCACUCCAGAUCCUUUAACCCACUGCUCCGGGAUGGGAAUUGAACCCACGCCUCUGCAGUGACUGGAGCUGCUGUAGUCGGAUUCUUAACCCACUGUGUCACAGCAGGAACUCCUUGUUUCCUUGAUUUAAGUCCUCUUGUCUCCCCUCAUGACCGGCAGAGCUCUUCCUCCUGCUGCCCUGACCUGCUUCGAGGUCAGACGCUAUGACACCUCCUCCAGGAAGCCCUUCCUGGUUUCCACUGCCUGCGGAGACCCCAGUCUUCGGAGAGUCCCAGAGCCUGCCUCUCAGAGCCUCUCGUCUGGCUUUCAGGGUGCAAAGCCCCUCCUCCCGCAGGUGCCAUGUCCCCACAGGGCACUCCCGCCCAGUUCAGCCUCCGCCCUGGCCCCUUUGAGACUCCCCAGCACCAGCAGGAUAAAUCACCCUCUUCUCUGGGCUAGGCUGGGCCUUUGGGUUUGUUCUGUUGCCCCCUCGUUCCGCAUCUGCCUCCUGCGGGCUGGUCAUCACGCAGACGGGAUUGAAGAAGGCAUGUCCCCCCGGCCUCCCUCUCAGGGUGGAGCAGCCAUCAUUCCUGGUGCUCAGCUGCCCGGAAGUCUCCCUUUCAUCCUCGUGAUGGUUAAUUUCAUGUGUCCACUUGCCUGGGCUAAGGGAUGUCCAGACAGCUGGUCACACAUCACUUCUGGGUGUGUCUGUGUGGAAGGUUCCAGAAGAGAGGAGCACUGGAAUCGAUGGACUGAGUGAAGAAGUAGAUGGGCAUCACCCGUUCCCCGAGGACGCAAACAGAACAUAAAGAUGAGCCACGUGCUCUCUGAGCUGGGACCUCCGCCUUCUGCUUUUGGGCAUCACGCUUCUAAGCUCCGCAGAACUUUAGACCCAGACUGAAUUCUACCACCCACUUUCCUGCUUCUCCAGCUUGCAGAUGACAGACUGCGGGGGUUUGGAGCCUCAUAAUUGCAGGAACUAAUUCUUGUACUAAAUGUAUAUAAAAUGUAUGUUUAUAUAGAAAA
RNAcentral lists this long non-coding RNA (1616 nucleotides) under Sus scrofa (pig). Its description in RNAcentral is "lncRNA (ENSSSCG00030067422.1)". The record is from RNAcentral. Lineage: Eukaryota; Metazoa; Chordata; Mammalia; Artiodactyla; Suidae.